This 492-nucleotide ribosomal RNA is filed under the name uncultured bacterium. RNAcentral describes it as "partial 16S ribosomal RNA". It matches the Rfam family "Bacterial small subunit ribosomal RNA", at positions 30 to 507 of the family's 1533-position model. The record is from RNAcentral.
AUUGAGCGCUGGCGGCAUGCUUUACACAUGCAAGUCGAACGGUAACAGGCCUUCGGGUGCUGACGAGUGGCGAACGGGUGAGUAAUGCAUCGGAACGUGCCCAGAGGUGGGGGAUAACGCAGCGAAAGCUGUGCUAAUACCGCAUGUGAUCUGAGGAUGAAAGCGGGGGACCAGGCAGCAAUGUUUGGCCUCGCGCCUUUGGAGCGGCCGAUGUCAGAUUAGGUAGUUGGUGGGGUAAAGGCCUACCAAGCCGACGAUCUGUAGCUGGUCUGAGAGGACGACCAGCCACACUGGGACUGAGACACGGCCCAGACUCCUACGGGAGGCAGCAGUGGGGAAUUUUGGACAAUGGGCGCAAGCCUGAUCCAGCAAUGCCGCGUGCGGGAAGAAGGCCUUCGGGUUGUAAACCGCUUUUGUACGGAACGAAAAGGCUCUGGCUAAUACCUGGGGCUGAUGACGGUACCGUAAGAAUAAGCACCGGCUAACUACGUG